ACGCUCGACACCUACGGGAGGCAGCAGUGGGGAAUAUUGCACAAUGGGGGAAACCCUGAUGCAGCGACGCCGCGUGGAGGAAGAAGGUCUUCGGAUUGUAAACUCCUGUUGUUGGGAAAAAGAGGAUGGUACCCAACAAGGAAGUGACGGCUAACUACGUGCCAGAAGCCGCGGUAAUCUGAGCGGGCUGGCAAGGC
RNAcentral lists this ribosomal RNA (197 nucleotides) under uncultured bacterium. Its description in RNAcentral is "partial 16S ribosomal RNA". It matches the Rfam family "Bacterial small subunit ribosomal RNA", at positions 328 to 539 of the family's 1533-position model. The record is from RNAcentral.